Molecule: ribosomal RNA, 216 nt
Filed under: Glomeromycotina sp.
Lineage: Eukaryota; Fungi; Glomeromycota
Description: partial small subunit ribosomal RNA
Rfam family: Eukaryotic small subunit ribosomal RNA (bases 40-216)
Source: RNAcentral
GGGUCAGUAGGUUGGUCGUGCCACCGGUACGUACUGGUCUCACUGAUUCCUCCUUCCUGAAGAACCGUAAUGCCAUUAAUUUGGUGCUGCGGGGAAACAGGACUGUUACUUUGAAAAAAUUAGAGUGAUUAAAGCAAGCUAGCGCUUGAAUACAUUAGCAUGGAAUAAUGAAAUAGGACGAUCGAUCCUAUUUUGUUGGUUUCUAGGAUUGACGUA